This is a microRNA precursor of Chelonoidis abingdonii (Abingdon island giant tortoise), 84 nucleotides long. NCBI's taxonomy places the organism in Eukaryota, Metazoa, Chordata, Testudines, Testudinidae. The record is from Ensembl.
CAAAGGUUUCAGUGAACAUUCAACGCUGUCGGUGAGUUUUCUCAAUAAGGUUAAACCAUCGACCGUUGAGUGUACCCUGCGGCC